RNAcentral lists this ribosomal RNA (331 nucleotides) under uncultured eukaryote. RNAcentral describes it as "partial 18S ribosomal RNA". It matches the Rfam family "Eukaryotic small subunit ribosomal RNA", at positions 1470 to 1796 of the family's 1831-position model. The record is from RNAcentral.
CCCUUAGAUGUUCUGGGCCGCACGCGCGCUACACUGACGAAUUCAACGAGUUUAUAACCUUUGCUGGGAGGCAUGGGUAAUCUUGUGAACGUUCGUCGUGAUGGGGAUAGAUUAUUGCAAUUGUUAAUCUUCAACGAGGAAUUCCUAGUAAACGCAAGUCAUCAGCUUGCAUUGAUUACGCCCCUGCCCUUUGUACACACCGCCCGUCGCACCUACCGAUUGAAUGGUCCGGUGAAUUCUUCGGACUGCGGCUUUGACUCGAUUUCGGUCGAGGCGUUGCUGCGGGAAGUUGAUUAAACCUUACCAUUUAGAGGAAGGUGAAGUCGUAACA